Molecule: long non-coding RNA, 955 nt
Organism: Syngnathus acus (greater pipefish)
Lineage: Eukaryota; Metazoa; Chordata; Actinopteri; Syngnathiformes; Syngnathidae
Exons: 2
Source: RefSeq, a predicted model, not a curated record
AAACUAAUCUCUACGGACACAUGCAUGUUUCUGCCAGCCUCAAUCACUUUUCCGAGCAGAUGGGGGAAAGCAAAAAAUCUCGCUUAACACACACCAGACGACAGGAUAUUUUCUUAUGGACAUGCCACAAUGUGGACUCUGCUAAAGUCCAUCCAAAGAAAUCAAUGGCAGUCUAAAAGCCAGCAGUCCCAGUCCCAGUCCAAAGGACCUUUCAGCAGGUGGUGGCUGUCUUCAGGGCCAGCGGAAGCAGAUCUGGCUGGCUAAGUGGCACCUGGGUGGGAGCAGUAUCGAGCGGCGCAGUCGGCUGACUUUUACAGAUGUGUUGUGAUGUGGUUAUUGGCACAACAGGUGAGCUGUUAUUGUCUCCCUGGCCUUUUCACCCACACCAAUAAAAGAUCAUUGUUGGCGUCGACGACUGGCGUUUUUAUAAGGUCAGCCUCGCUCGGCUGGAGCUUGAACCGUGGGGCGCUCGCUCGCUCGCUCGCUCACAAAUGCAUUCCCAAGAUCGAACCGUGCGCUGCUUUCUUACUGUGUUUGAAGUCAAAUGUUGCUCCGCUCUGUGUGUAUCAUUAUUGGCCUGCAGUCUGAACGUAGCCUAGCCAGAUGAGGAAAAUAUGAGAGUUGGGUUAGGGCUUCAACAUUAUUGGGCAAAAUGCUCAGUCUACAACUAAAUAAUAGAACUGGCCUCACUGUUCAAAACAUUUGAACACCUUUUUUUUGUUAUGAAAGGAUCACCUGGCCAUUGACCAGAUUGUCUUACCUCAAAGUGAGAUCAGAGCUAUAAAGUAAAAGCUCCAUUUCAUCCCCAUCUGCUUGAAACAUAUUGGAGCGGCCAGCAGCAUUUCGCCGGAGGGUCAAAGUAAACGAUGUGUUGUGUAAAGCAUCUCUGCAGGCACCAAUGAUGCAAAGCCUUUACCACUGCGUUUGCACCUUAAAUGCCUUCCUGCUGAUGGAG